This 75-nucleotide transfer RNA is filed under the name Lachnospiraceae bacterium. RNAcentral's name for it is "tRNA-Gly". It matches the Rfam family "tRNA". From Rfam's summary of the family: Transfer RNA (tRNA) molecules are approximately 80 nucleotides in length. RNAcentral also lists the same sequence under 2 other names. The record is from RNAcentral. Lineage: Bacteria; Bacillati; Bacillota; Clostridia; Lachnospirales; Lachnospiraceae.
GCAGCGGUCGUAUAACGGCUAAUACGUCGGCCUUCCAAGUCGAAAAUGUGGGUUCGACUCCCAUUCGCUGCUCCA